GACGAACGCUGGCGGCGUGCUUAACACAUGCAAGUCGAACGGAAAGGCCCUGCUUUUGUGGGGUGCUCGAGUGGCGAACGGGUGAGUAACACGUGAGUAACCUGCCCUUGACUUUGGGAUAACUUCAGGAAACUGGGGCUAAUACCGGAUAGGAGCUCCUGCUGCAUGGUGGGGGUUGGAAAGUUUCGGCGGUUGGGGAUGGACUCGCGGCUUAUCAGCUUGUUGGUGGGGUAGUGGCUUACCAAGGCUUUGACGGGUAGCCGGCCUGAGAGGGUGACCGGCCACAUUGGGGCUGAGAUACGGCCCAGACUCCUACGGGAGGCAGCAGGGGGGAAUAUUGCACAAUGGGCGGAAGCCUGAUGCAGCAACGCCGCGGGCGGGAUGACGGCCUUCGGGUUGUAAACCGCUUUCGCCUGUGACGAAGCGUGAGUGACGGUAAUGGGUAAAGAAGCACCGGCUAACUACG
Molecule: ribosomal RNA, 466 nt
Filed under: uncultured bacterium
Lineage: Bacteria
Description: partial 16S ribosomal RNA
Rfam family: Bacterial small subunit ribosomal RNA
Source: RNAcentral